GCCGGGGUGAUGAAAUUUGGAAAACAUGUGGCACUCAAAAUGCCAUGGGCGCAAGCCCUUGAGGGUUCAAGUCCCUCCCUCGGCA
RNAcentral lists this transfer RNA (85 nucleotides) under bacterium. Its description in RNAcentral is "tRNA-Leu". It matches the Rfam family "tRNA". Rfam says of the family: Transfer RNA (tRNA) molecules are approximately 80 nucleotides in length. The record is from RNAcentral.